RNAcentral lists this long non-coding RNA (147 nucleotides) under Coturnix japonica (Japanese quail). RNAcentral's name for it is "ZEB2 antisense RNA 1 conserved region 1 (ENSCJPG00005020783.1)". It matches the Rfam family "ZEB2 antisense RNA 1 conserved region 1". Lineage: Eukaryota; Metazoa; Chordata; Aves; Galliformes; Phasianidae. The record is from RNAcentral.
CUAUAAAAGAUGUAACAGAUGCAAACUGUAAAACAAGGGCAAUUAACCCUUGCUCUCCUGAGCAGGAUCCCCUCUCGCCUUCUCAUCUAUUGUCUUCCCCAGCACUGGGACUUUUACAUUAUUAUAUGUUUUUAAUAAUUCCUUGAC